ACAAGCAGCGGAGCGUGUGGUUUAAUUCGUUGCUACACGAAGAACCUUACCUGGGUUUGACAUAUAAGUUGUAGGGAACUGAAAGGACGACCUUCGGGAGCUUAUACAGGUGUUGCAUGGCUGUCGUCAGCUCGUGUCGUGAGAUGUUCGGUUAAGUCCGCUAACGAGCGCAACCCUCGCCGUAUGUUACAAGUGUCAUACGGGACUGCCGGUAAAAGCCGGAGGAAGGUGAGGAUGAUGUCAAGUCAGCAUGACCUUUAUAUCCAGGGCUACACACACGCUACAAUGGUCUGUACAAUUGGUUGCCAAGCCGCGAGGCGGAGCCAAUCCGUAAAGCAGGCCUCAGUUCAGAUUGCAGUCUGCAACUCGACUGCAUGAAGCCGGAGUUGCUAGUAACCGCAGGUCAGCAAUACUGCGGUGAAUACGUUCCCGGGUCUU
Molecule: ribosomal RNA, 438 nt
Filed under: uncultured Anaerolineaceae bacterium
Lineage: Bacteria; Bacillati; Chloroflexota; Anaerolineae; Anaerolineales; Anaerolineaceae
Description: bacterial SSU rRNA
Rfam family: Bacterial small subunit ribosomal RNA
Source: RNAcentral